Long non-coding RNA from Xiphias gladius (swordfish), 944 nucleotides. RefSeq lists it as uncharacterized. The record is from RefSeq and is a predicted model, not a curated record. NCBI's taxonomy places the organism in Eukaryota, Metazoa, Chordata, Actinopteri, Istiophoriformes, Xiphiidae. The transcript is spliced from 5 exons.
UUUCCUUGUUGUCUGUACCUGAAUACCUGCCUGCCAUCUUGUCAACCUGUCUGACUGUAAGCGUGUUUUAGCUUAUUUAAAGCUGCUUCACUGCAUUAGUCUGCCUGUGUGUCUGUUUGGGUCCACCUUGCCUGUGCUGCUUCCAUCAUCUGUGACAAAUAGGAUCUAGCUGUAGAGGUGCUGAACCCUGGGUCAUUACACUGAAGGGGAACCUGAAGGCUCUUCCUGGCUCCACACGGUUGUCCACUUCAACCUAGAGAGAAAAUGGUGCAAAAGAAACAGACAAAAGUUGCAUGACUGGGUACACAUGUUGUGAGGAAGACGUGAAGCGACAAACCUGGAAGUUCACUUUGGAGACGGACAUCUGGGUUGUAGACUGCCUCUGAAAUUCACUGUUUGACACUUUGUCUGUUCCUUCCAGAAUGACCAAAAACUCCCCCUUAGGGACCACAUCAGCAGUCACCAGGAUGUCUCCGUUGCCCAUGUCAGUCAUUGUGCUGUUGCUCAUAGCAUCAGGACCAGACACGGAUACAAGGCUGACUUUUCCAACAGUCACUGAGGACGGACCUUUCCUUCCGAUUACUGAAAGCAUCAUGGUGACUGGCUGGCCUGGGUUUCCAGAGUAGAGAAGCAAGUUGUCUCACCUGCAGUGUAUGAAGGACUCUGCCCAGUGUUUCUCUGGCCACCCGGAAGUUCUCUCCGCGAAUGUUGGCCUUAAUGGCCACCAUGCCCUCCGUAAUUAGCCAACGUCCCUCCAGGAAGGUCUCUGAGUUGAAGUGGUACGGAGCACUGAAAGAAUUUUUCAUAAGUAAUAACUUGAGCAGAGUGAAAAUUGGCACCUGACACCUCUCCUGUUGCUGUGGGUCCUAGACAGGCCUGAACCAGCUCCUCAGGAGAAGAACCCUGGAAGCAGAAAAGACUGAUUCCCUUAAAAAUGGAGGGGU